ACAGUUAACUACUUACCUGUGGCAGGUGAGAAAUGCAAAUGGUGGACGCCAAGAUGUGAUGAAUGCGGAAAUGCAGUUUUCGUUAGAUUUUAUUCGAAUCUAAACAACCAUUGGAUUAUUUUUCCAUAACUCCAAGGAAAAAAAUUGACUUUGAGUGUUAGCAUAUAAGACAGUUGACGGGAAAACACUUUCCCAAAAGUUUACUGAAACCGGAAAUCAAAAUUUGAAGAAAACAAUGUAUCAGAAUAAACAAAACAGUUACAGAUCUAGAAGUCCAGGCGAGGUGAUCGGGGAAUGCCUCCAUAAUGUAUUUAGUUCGGGCUUCCUGCUCAUCUCCGGUCUAUUGUUGGUGUUUUCUUCGCUGGUGUCUAUCGUCAGCUGUUUGCUGCCCUUCUGGUUCAAGUUGACACUGUACAACCAGGUGUUUGGAGACGAGGUAAAGCCCAACGACAUUGAAAUUGAUACUGGACUGUACUUCAUGGACAAAGACAGAUUUAUCAAUUUAUUGAUGAUAGAUAAAGCAUCAAGUGUCCAGCUCAUGCCAGAUUAUUUGAAAUUUGCCCAGUUGCUAUACCUGGUUGGUACCAUUGGUAUAUUGGUAUGCACAGCCUCAGCCAUAUUGUUACUGACACGUGACAAGACCGUUGUUUCUGCAGAGAUGGCUUUAGCUGGUGCUACUGUUGCAAUAGCUUUAUGUCAAGUUUUAGGAGUUAUACUUUGUGUCAUGCAAUUACUUGUUGAUGACCAGGCCAUGUGGCAGGACCUCCCAGUCAAGGAUGCCAUCCCAAACCGUUUUGGUUACUACAAAGUCUUAGAAGCCUAUCCUAAGAUAGAAUUCAACUGGGGAUUCUACUUUGCAGCAGCUGCAGCUUUGUUCUCUCUCGUCUCUGCCAUUUGUGUAGUCAUACAGAUGUUUGCAUCCUGCAACCGUCUUAGCCACAUUCGGUACCAGAUGUUGAGAGAGAAGCCAGACGAGGGAACCAGUCCUAUACCUGGUUACCCGUAUUAUGCUAACAAGGGCUACGACCGACAACCUGGUGAAUUUCUACUUUGACCUUUCAAUGCUGUUGCUACCUUCAUUGCUUCAUCUGUCAAGGAGGAUAUGGUUUACCACCGCAUGAAGAACGACCUCUUAUGUAUACAGUUCAUCCAUACCCACUUCCUUCAGCCACAGAAGUAGAUCUGUAAUUUUCCAGGAUGUAUACUGGUACCUCACAAAGGGGCAUUUUGGAACCAGUUUAUAACUCAAAAAAAUAUGGAUUUUUGAACACUGCUGACAAUUCUAGUCUUAAAAUUAGAGAAACAUUAUAGAUUUCAUUUCUGUCUUUUUAUUAUUAUUUUGGUUACAGUUAAGUAAAGAAAUCUUUUGAAAAUGUUUAAACAUGAGGUUUUGAUGAUACAUUUUUAAUUGCUUACUGCAAGUCAUUUUCUUAUUCAUUCAAAGUAUCUCUUUACGAACAAUAAAUAUAUUUUAGAUAAUAGUGGAUUAAUUAAAUAAGGAUUUUCCCAAGAAAUAUAAAAUUGAGUCAGAUUGGCAUUCUGUGUAUGUAAGAGGUUUGAGAUCAAGGGGCAAUGACACUGGUGUUUUGGAGAAAAAUUUCAAUAUCUUUUAAAAUUUUAUAAAAUGAAUUAUAAUUAAAUAUAUACUAGAUAAACAAACCAAAAUCCAUCUUUUUUUUAAAAUUUUGAACAAAAAAAUUGUAAAGUGCCAGAUAUUGAAAAAAUACAUCUUUUCAUCAAAUAGAAUUGUAUCAUUGUAUUGAAAUUCUCAUUGAAAUAAACCAAUUCAAAAUUAAGUUUUAUAAGAGCAAAAAUGAAAGAACAUUGCCACAAAAAGAAGAACAAAUUCAUCAGUAUUAUUGCCUCAUGUUAUAUUAUUUUGUAAACUCAGAUCUGAAAACAAUAAGAUGGUUGUGAACUUGUGUUCAUUCCUAAUUCAUUACUCAUACUGUCAGCUGUGCCAUACAUUGUACAUAGUCAUAUAUAUAUAUAUCACAUGAUCAAUUUUGAUACUGUAUAUUUUGAAAAGGACAUUGGAUUAUAUUGUUAAUAUUUUUAUAUACUAAGAAAUUUAAACUUGAAUAAUUCUUCGUAAGAUUCAUGUUUACAUGUAUUUUGAAGUUAAAUAUUUUAUAUUAUACUUUUUAGCUCACCUGACCUGAAAGGUCAAGUGAGCUUUUCUCAUCACUUUGCGUCCGUCGUCCGUCGUCCGUAAACUUUUACAAAAAUCUUCUCCUCUGAAACUACUGGGCCAAAUUUGACCAAACUUGGCCACAAUCAUCAUUGGGGUAUCUAGUUUAAAAAAUGUGUCCGGUAACCCGGCCAACCAACCAAGAUGGCCGCCAUGGCUAAAAAUAGAACAUAGGGGUAAAAUGUAGAUUUUGGCAUAUAUCUCUGAAACCAAAGCAUUAAGAGCAAAUCAGACAUGGGGUAAAUUGUUUAUCAGGUCAAGAUCUAUCUGCCCUGAAAUUUUCAGAUGAAUCGGACAACCCGUUGUUGGGUUGCUGCCCCUGAAUUGGUAAUUUUAAGGAAAUUUUGCCGUUUUUGGUUAUUAUCUUGAAUAUUAUCAUAGAUAGAGAUAAACUGUAAACAGCAAUAAUGUUCAGCAAAGUAAGAUCUACAAAUAAGUCAACAUGACCAAAAUGGUCAGUUGACCCCUUAAGGAGUUAUUGCCCUUUAUAGUCAAUUUUUAACCAUUUUUCGUAAAUUUUUGUAAUCUUUUACAAAAAUCUUCUCCUCUGAAACUACUAAGACAAAUUUAACCAAACUUGUCCAUAAUCAUCAUUAGGGUAUUUAGUUUAAAAAAUGUGUCCGAUGACCCUGCUCGCGAACCAAGAUGGCUGACAUGGCUAAAAAAUAGUACAUAGGGUAAAAUGCAGUUUUUGGCUCAUAUCUCUGAAAUCAAAGCAUUUAGAGCAAAUCUGAUGGGAUAAAAUUGUUCAUUAGGUCAAGAUCUAUCUGCCCUGAAAUUUUCAGACCAAUCAGGCAACCCGUUGUUGGGUUGCUGCCCCUGAAUUGGUAAUUUUAAGGAAAUUUUGCCGUUUUUGGUUAUUAUCUUGAAUAUUAUUAUAGAUAGAGAUAAACUGUAAACAGCAAUAAUGUUCAGCAAAGUAAGAUCUACAAAUAAGUCAACAUGACCAAAAUGGUCAGUUGACCCCUUAAGGAGUUAUUGCCCUUUAUAGUCAAUUUUUAACCAUUUUUCGUAAAUUUUUGUAAUUUUUUACAAAAAUCUUCUCCUCUGAAACUACUAAGACAAAUUUAACCAAACUUGUCCACAAUCAUCAUUAGGGUAUCUAGUUUAAAAAAUGUGUCCGAUGACCCUGCUCGCGAACCAAGAUGGCUGACAUGGCUAAAAAUUAGUACAUAGGGUAAAAUGCAGUUUUUGGCUCAUAUCUCUGAAACCAAAGCAUUUAGAGCAAAUCUGAUGAGAAUAAAAUUGUUCAUUAGGUCAAGAUGUAUCUGCCCUGAAAUUUUCAGACCAAUCAGGCAACAUGUUGUUGGGUUGCUGCCCCUGAAGUGGUAAUUUUAAGAAAAUUUUGCAGCUUUUGGUUAUUAUCUUGAAUAUUAUAAUGAUAGAGAUAAACUGUAAACAGCAAUAAUGUACAGCAAAGUUAGAUCUACAAAUAAGGCAACAUGACCAAAAUUGUCAAUUGACCCCUUAAGGAGUUAUUGCCCUUUAUAGUCAAUUUUUUACAAUUUUCAUAAAUUUUGUAAAUUUUUGUAAAUUUUUACAAAGUAUUUUCCACUGUAAUUACUGGGCCAAGUUCAUUAUAGAUAGAGAUAGUAGUAAGGAGCAAGCAUGUUCAGUAAAGUAAGAUCUACAAACACAUCACCAUCACCAAAACACAAUUUUGUCAUGAAUCCAUCUGUGUCCUUUGUUUAAUAUGCACAUAGACCAAGGUGAGCGACACAGGCUCUUUAGAGCCUCUAGUUAUCAUUUACUUAUAUAAAAAUGAAAUGAGAGUAGAAACAUACUGAAAUAGAUUUGUCUUUGCUAAUUAAAGGUAUUUUUAAUGUUGAAUCUGCAUAAUAAUAAAGUUCAAAGGUAAGAGGAAAAAAAUCUUGCCAAUUAUUACAUUACAAAUUUCACCUGAUUGGACAUAACUAAAAUGGCUCAAAUUUAUGACAACCUUCUAUUAAAAAAAGGUGAUUUAAUAGUCAAUAAAACAGGAGUAUAACAGUUUGUACUAUGAUAGGAAAUUCCCUUCAUCAUUUAUCUGUUUUUGAACUAAAGUGAUAUCAGUGGAAAAUGCUUUCCUCAGAAUUUGUCUUCAAAUUGUGCUUAAUUAACACAAAGACAUGUAUAUAUUUAAUAUUAUUAUGUAUAAUAGUAAUUAUUUCAUACAAAAUGAAUAAAUUUGGUAUACAAAGAUUAA
Molecule: RNA transcript, 4376 nt
Organism: Mytilus californianus (California mussel)
Lineage: Eukaryota; Metazoa; Mollusca; Bivalvia; Mytilida; Mytilidae
Exons: 5
Source: RefSeq, a predicted model, not a curated record